Molecule: non-coding RNA, 813 nt
Organism: Saimiri boliviensis boliviensis (Bolivian squirrel monkey)
Lineage: Eukaryota; Metazoa; Chordata; Mammalia; Primates; Cebidae
Source: RefSeq, a predicted model, not a curated record
CUAUCAGGGGUCAGUAUGCUGCUUAUGUGACAACCCUAUCUAUCAUUUUUGGGAACUCAAAGGCUCAAAGGGAGACAUGGGGGACCCAGGUAUGCCAGGUGAAAAAGGAAGAAUUGGACUUCCUGGAUUACCGGGAACCAAGGGCAUGAAAGGAGAAAAAGGAGAUUCUGGAAUGCUGGGUCCACAGGGUCUUUCUAUAAGUCCAUGGCAGCUGAACUGCCAUGGUUCCUGAACCUUCUCACAUGCUGACCUGUUAUUUACCUAUUCCACCUCUGCCAGCAACUACUAAUGAUCUUAGCAGAACCCCAGCACAAGAUUCAAGUUGAACUGCCUUAUCUAAAUGAAGUAACCAAAUACAUUUUUAUUUUUUGGACAUACAGAUCAUAGGCCCAGCAGGCCUACCAGGUCUCCAUGGCCCACCUGGCCCCAUGGUAAAUUUUCCUUCUUCCUAAAAUGUAAUUGCUUAUUUAUGAGCAUGUUACUAGAGAAAACAUGAAAACAUCCCUCUAAACAGCCAGCUUGCAUUUUGUACUCUUCUCUGUGGAAUGGAUGGAAAAUACCAGGUGAUCUGAGAUAAACUAACUUUAUCAUGUUGUCUUUCACUCUCCCAAACACAUAUGUUGGGAAGAGUUAGAGUAGUUCUCUUCUACGACAGAGGUAAGGAAAGACAGAUCUAGCAAGCUCUACUAUAACCUUACAGCAUGAACGCUGGCAAAUCAUUUUAUCCAGUCGCUGCUGUAACCUGAUACAAGUAGAAUAAGAUUAAGAAUCGGCUGGACACAAUGGCCCAUGCCUGUAAUCGCAACAGUUUGG